RNAcentral lists this ribosomal RNA (478 nucleotides) under uncultured Planctomycetales bacterium. Its description in RNAcentral is "bacterial SSU rRNA". It matches the Rfam family "Bacterial small subunit ribosomal RNA", at positions 364 to 832 of the family's 1533-position model. The record is from RNAcentral. Lineage: Bacteria; Pseudomonadati; Planctomycetota; Planctomycetia; Planctomycetales.
UUUCGCAAUGCCCGAAAGGAUGACGAAGCGACGCCGCGUGUGGGAAGAAGGCCUUCGGGUUGUAAACCACUGUCGGGAGUUAGGAAAUGCAGGUGCGUUAAUAGCGCACUUGCUUGACUAAGGCUCCAGAGGAAGCCGCGGCUAACUCUGUGCCAGCAGCCGCGGUAAUACAGAGGCGGCAAGCGUUGUUCGGAAUUAUUGGGCGUAAAGAGCACGUAGGCGGCCUUGCAAGUCAGUUGUGAAAGCCUUCCGCUUAACGGAAGAACGGCAUCUGAUACUACAGGGCUUGAGUACGGGAGGGGAGAGUGGAACUUCUGGUGGAGCGGUGAAAUGCGUAGAUAUCAGAAGGAACACCGGCGGCGAAGGCGACUCUCUGGCCCGUAACUGACGCUGAGUGUGCGAAAGCUAGGGGAGCAAACGGGAUUAGAUACCCCGGUAGUCCUAGCCGUAAACGAUGGGCACUAAGUAGAGGGGUUUU